This 301-nucleotide ribosomal RNA is filed under the name uncultured bacterium. RNAcentral's name for it is "partial 16S ribosomal RNA". It matches the Rfam family "Bacterial small subunit ribosomal RNA", at positions 509 to 807 of the family's 1533-position model. The record is from RNAcentral.
CAGCAGCCGCGGUAAAACGAAGGUCCCGAGCGUUGUUCGGAAUCACUGGGCGUAAAGGGAGCGUGGGCGGCGUGGUAAGUCAGAUGUGAAAUCCCGGGGCUCAACCCCGGAACUGCAUCCGAUACUGCCGUGCUAGAGGAUUGGAGAGGUAGCUGGAAUUCUUGGUGUAGCAGUGAAAUGCGUAGAUAUGCGGAGGAACACCGAUGGCGAAGGCAGCCCCCUAGGCCAACACUGACGCUCAUGCGCGAAAGCGUGGGGAGCAAGCAGGAUUAGAUACCCCUGUAGUCCCUGUCUCUUAUAC